Molecule: ribosomal RNA, 432 nt
Filed under: uncultured bacterium
Lineage: Bacteria
Description: partial 16S ribosomal RNA
Rfam family: Bacterial small subunit ribosomal RNA
Source: RNAcentral
AACGAACGCUGGCGGCAGGCUUAACACAUGCAAGUCGAGCGCAUCCUUCGGGGUGAGCGGCGGACGGGUGAGUAACGCGUGGGAACGUGCCCUCUUCUACGGAAUAGCCUCGGGAAACUGAGAGUAAUGCCGUAUACGCCCGCAAGGGGAAAGAUUUAUCGGAGGAGGAUCGGCCCGCGUUGGAUUAGGUAGUUGGUGGGGUAACGGCCUACCAAGCCGACGAUCCAUAGCUGGUUUGAGAGGAUGAUCAGCCACACUGGGACUGAGACACGGCCCAGACUCCUACGGAAGGAAGAGGUGGGAAUUCUUGACAAUUGGGGGCACCCCGGUUCCACCCAGGCCGCGUAAUCAAUAAGGGCCUAAGGUUUGUAAAGACCUUUAACCUGGAAGGAUAAUGCCGGUCCAACAGGAGAAGCCCCGGCUAACUCCGUG